AAAAAGAACUUUUGCUGUGAGUGGUACAUGUCGGGCAGCUUGCUUGCUCUAUGUGUGGAAUCAAUAUCAAGAGACUGCAGAGGAUAAGUUUUUGGCAGUAGGGCAUCUGAUAAUCGUUGGUCCUGGCAACCCA
Sorex fumeus (smoky shrew) is the source of this 133-nucleotide small nuclear RNA. RefSeq annotates it as U11 spliceosomal RNA. The record is from RefSeq and is a predicted model, not a curated record. The transcript has a single exon. Lineage: Eukaryota; Metazoa; Chordata; Mammalia; Eulipotyphla; Soricidae.